Molecule: long non-coding RNA, 339 nt
Organism: Apis florea (little honeybee)
Lineage: Eukaryota; Metazoa; Arthropoda; Insecta; Hymenoptera; Apidae
Source: RefSeq, a predicted model, not a curated record
AAGUAAAUAAGUUGAAAUUCUAUCUCAUCUUAUCGAAUACACGCGUAUUCAACGAAAACGCGCAGAGAGAAAUUAUCCGUUAAUUAGAUAAUUAUAUCAGAGUGUGUCAUCGUAGGAUCGAUAUUCGUUUUUUCUUUUGUAAUUGUAACGGAGAGAGAGAGAGAGAAAAGGAAUAAGAAUGGGAGGACCGAUAAUAAUCGUCAAACGAUUACAGACGAUUGUUCUUUCGAAGAGAUGGAAAUCGUUCACGAAUUAACGAGGCAAUGAUAAGUAUAUACCGUAAUUUUUUCUCAUUUCUGUUCGAGCUGUUGAUUACAAAUGCAUUGUUCGUAAUAAUAA